This is a long non-coding RNA of Leopardus geoffroyi (Geoffroy's cat), 809 nucleotides long. RefSeq lists it as uncharacterized. Lineage: Eukaryota; Metazoa; Chordata; Mammalia; Carnivora; Felidae. The record is from RefSeq and is a predicted model, not a curated record. The transcript is spliced from 4 exons.
UUGACUUUGGAGGCUGAGUCUUUCAGCCACUACGUGGGAUGAUGUGCCUCCCACCGCUUCCAUUUUUGGGAAUUGAAUGUGAAGGAAGAGUUGAGAAUGAUGUUACGAAAACUUUAUUCCAUAAGGAUCUGACAUGCAGCAGCUGAAAGCUGUUUAGGAUAUAUCAAAUACUUGAUAAUUGCUCACAGCCCUUAUAUCUCUACUGAACUCAGAAAUAAUUCAAGAUCAAGACACAAGAGUCAGGACCCGCUAAUCAUCGAAAGAAGAGAGAGACUUCACUCUGCCUGAUGAAGAAAGGCUGGGCUCCAGAGAACGACACUCCCAGAUAUGGAGGUGUUUCCGAAAUGGAGGCUUCCUCACAGAGCAGGAGAUAAGCAAGAUACUCUAGAGAAAUGUGGGAGAUGCAGAAGAGAAGCAUCGAAGGAAGAGACUUCAAAAGAGAAGAGCUGGAGAAGGUGCAAGGCCUUGGGACAUGUUUACACAGCUGAACGAGGCUGCAGCUUGUAAGGAACACCUAGAGCGCUUAACAUUGUCCAGGGCCAGAGCAUCCUUCACACCUGACCCUUCCUAGUGUUCUAGAAACCAAUUAGCUUGAAAUUCAACCUUGAAAAGCUAAACCAUUAGAUUGAUUAACACACUUGCUUAGCUGACUUUAUGCAUGUAGUCUUCAGCAGUUAUCCUAAUAAAAAGAAGCUUCAUUCUGGAGUCGGGGCCUCAUUCUGACUCACGUCUGACGACCUUCGCCUAACUGCAUUUUGUUUGCAGACUCAUCUUGUGUAACUCUGGCCAUACUCCCUGCAACAGAGAAA